RNAcentral lists this non-coding RNA (24 nucleotides) under Arabidopsis thaliana (thale cress). Lineage: Eukaryota; Viridiplantae; Streptophyta; Magnoliopsida; Brassicales; Brassicaceae. The record is from RNAcentral.
UAAAUUGUGAUUCAGGAUGUGUCA